UUUUAGCCAGGUAUUCAUAUC
RNAcentral lists this non-coding RNA (21 nucleotides) under Caenorhabditis elegans. The record is from RNAcentral. Lineage: Eukaryota; Metazoa; Nematoda; Chromadorea; Rhabditida; Rhabditidae.